UUUAGGGAUUAGCCACUAUGCCUGAAUCUCUUCCUUCUGGAGAUGAUAAUUGACCAGGCUGGAAACACUAGCCAGCGAUACUGAUGUAGAGGUCACUCACCAGCCUGUCCUCUGACUCAAACAUGGAGUAAUCAAUGGUGAAAUCUGCACCAAAGUCAUCUGCAGAGGAGAAAGAAAAUCAGCAGUCAUAAAAGAAAAAG
This is a long non-coding RNA of Sapajus apella (tufted capuchin), 200 nucleotides long. RefSeq lists it as uncharacterized. NCBI's taxonomy places the organism in Eukaryota, Metazoa, Chordata, Mammalia, Primates, Cebidae. The transcript has 2 exons. The record is from RefSeq and is a predicted model, not a curated record.